RNAcentral lists this ribosomal RNA (1316 nucleotides) under Pyroteuthis margaritifera. RNAcentral describes it as "16S ribosomal RNA". The stretch from base 869 to 1252 matches the Rfam family "Bacterial large subunit ribosomal RNA", at positions 2049 to 2651 of the family's 2925-position model. Lineage: Eukaryota; Metazoa; Mollusca; Cephalopoda; Oegopsida; Pyroteuthidae. The record is from RNAcentral.
ACUGUAAUUAAAUUUUUAAAGAAAUAUUUUAUUAUAAAUAUAUUUAAAUAAAUUAAAUUGUUUAUUUGUUUAGUAUUAAAAGUGUAGAAAAAAUGUUGAUUAUAAAGUACUGUGAAGGAUAAAGUAUUUAUUAUUUAUUUAGUAGUAGAUAUAUAUAUUCGUACCUUUUGUAUAAUGGAUUAAUAAUUGUUAUUAUAUUAUAUUAUGAAUUCUCGAAAUGAAUAGAUUUACUUAAUAAGGGUAAUAUUAACGUUGUAUAGUUAUAUAAUGAUUAUUAAGUGGUAAUGAUAUGUUUAUCGUUUUUCAUGAUAGCUAGUUUAUUAAGUGUAAAAAUAUCUAAGUAUUAUAAUUUUAAUAUAAGUAUAUAUAAAUUUAAGAUUAGUUUAGUAUAUGAGGGAUAAGCUUCAUAUAAUAUUAUAGAAUAUAUUAAGUAGAAAUUAUGGUUUAAGUAGAAUUAAUAAUGUUUUUCUUUUAAAGUAAUUUAAAUUUUAUAUAUAUAGGUUAUAUUCAUGUUAUUUAUUUAAUAAAUUUUUAUUAAUUGAUUUAAAUUAAUUAUAAUGUUAAUAUGAGUAUUGGUUGAUUUAUUAAAUAGUUAUAUAUAUUAUAAAUGUUACUAGUAAAUAUAAUUAUAUUUUUAUUUAAAUUAAGUAAAGGAAUUCGGCAAAUAAUAAUCUCGCCUGUUUAUCAAAAACAUGUCUCUUUGUUGUAAUUAUAUAAAGAGUCGGGCCUGCUCGGUGAAAUAAUUUUAACAGCUGCGGUAUUUUAACUGUACUAAGGUAGCAUAAUAAUUUGCCUUAUAAUUUGAGGCUAGAAUGAAUGGUUUGACGAAGGUUAAUCUGUCUCUAUUUUAUUUUUUAGAAUUUAAUUUUUAUGUGAAAAAGCUUAAAUUUUUUAAAGGGACGAGAAGACCCUAUUGAGCUUAUAAUUUUAUUUAUUUUUGAUAAUAUUAUAAAGAAUAAUAUGAAUUUUGAUUGGGGUGAUCAAGGAAUAAUAAUUAUAUAAUAACUUCCUUAUACUUAUUAAUUGGUAAAUUAAUUAACCAAUAUUAUUGAUUAUAAUUAAGUUACCAUAGGGAUAACAGCGUAAUUUAUUUUGAGAGUUCUUAUCGAAAAAUAAGAUUGCGACCUCGAUGUUGGAUUAAAGUAACCUUAGGGUGUAGAAGUUCUAGAAGGUAAAUCUGUUCGAUUUUUAAAAUUUUACAUGAUCUGAGUUCAGACCGGUGUGAGCCAGGUUGGUUUCUAUCUUUUAAAAAGAUUAAUAGUUUUUCUUAGUACGAAAGGAUCAGAAAAAACUAAAUUAUUAAUUAUAAUACAAAG